CGUCACUUCCGGGCCAAAAGGUAGUCUGGUCCGAUAGGGCGACUAUUUGUUGCUGCUUCAGGGUUUUCGUGCGAGCUAUGGUGUAAACGCUGAUGACGGCCGGAGUCCUCUCUCACUCCCUCCUCCUGUGUGAACGCGAGUGUGUGUGUGUGUGUGUAUGCCAGUGUUUGGUCGUAAACAGGACCAACUGCAAUCAGCUCAUUGGGGUCGCUGCUGCUUUGCCAGGCUGAUCUUGCCUUCCCACGCUACUCUGCUUUGCCAGGCUGAUC
Gadus macrocephalus (Pacific cod) is the source of this 269-nucleotide long non-coding RNA. RefSeq lists it as uncharacterized. The transcript is spliced from 3 exons. NCBI's taxonomy places the organism in Eukaryota, Metazoa, Chordata, Actinopteri, Gadiformes, Gadidae. The record is from RefSeq and is a predicted model, not a curated record.